CAGUAGCCGCGGGAAUACGUAGGGUGCGAGCGUUAAUCGGAAUUACUGGGCGUAAAGCGUGCGCAGGCGGUUUUGUAAGACAGGCGUGAAAUCCCCGGGCUCAACCUGGGAAUGGCGCUUGUGACUGCAAAGCUAGAGUGCGGCAGAGGGGGAUGGAAUUCCGCGUGUAGCAGUGAAAUGCGUAGAUAUGCGGAGGAACACCGGUGGCGAAGGCAAUCCCCUGGGCCUGCACUGACGCUCAUGCACGAAAGCGUGGGGAGCAAACAGGAUUAGAUACCCCUGUAGUCCCUGUCUCUUAUAC
RNAcentral lists this ribosomal RNA (301 nucleotides) under uncultured bacterium. RNAcentral's name for it is "partial 16S ribosomal RNA". It matches the Rfam family "Bacterial small subunit ribosomal RNA", at positions 509 to 807 of the family's 1533-position model. The record is from RNAcentral.